UCCAGGUCUUCCAGUCAAUCAGUGUCUUCCAGAAAGAAAUCCAGGUCUUCCAGUCAGUGUCUUCCAGAAAAAUCUAUGUCUUCCACCAAAUCCAGGUCUUCCAGUCAAUCCACAUCUUCCGGAAAAAAUCCAGGUCUUCCAGCCAAUAUAUGUCUUCCUGAAGAUCCAUGUCUUCCAGAAAAUCCAUGUCUUCCAGAAAAUCCACGUCUUCCAGUAACCUCCCAGUCUUCCAGAAAAUCCACGUCUUCCCAACAAUCCAGGUCUUCCGGAUAAUUUGGGUCUUCCUGAAAAUCUACGUCUUCCAAAAAAGCCAUGUCUUCCAGAAAAUCCACAUCUUCCAAUGGCCUCCAGGUCUUCCAGACUAUCCAUGUCUUCCAGAAAAUCCUUGUCUUCCCUCAAAUCUAUAGCUUCCAAAAAAUCCGGGUCUUCCAGGAAAUCCGUGUCUUCCAGCAAGUCCACGUCUUCCAACAAAGCCAUGUCUUCCAGACUAUCCACGUCUUCCAGAAAAUCCUUGUCUUCCCUCAAAUCCAUAGCUUCCGAAAAAUCCAGGUCUUCCAGGAAAUCCGUGUCUUCCAGCAAAUCCACGUCUUCCAACAAAGCCAUGUCUUCCAUCAAAUUAAUGUCUUCCAGCCUACUUGUGUCUUCCAACAAAGGUGUGUCUUCCAACAAAGGUACGUCUUCCAACAAAGGUACGUCUUCCAACAAAGGUCUUCCAGCAUCUCCAGGGCUUCCAGCAUCUGCUCGUCUUCCAACAUCUCCACGUCUUCCAGCAUCUCUACGUCUUCCAGCAUCUUCAUGUCUUCCAACAACUACCCAGUCUUCCAUCAACUGGCUCAAUAUCCAUGUCUUCCAACGUCUCCAGUGUGCUGAUCUUCUGACAUUCAGGUCUUCCAGUGUCUGCA
Molecule: long non-coding RNA, 902 nt
Filed under: Pan troglodytes (chimpanzee)
Lineage: Eukaryota; Metazoa; Chordata; Mammalia; Primates; Hominidae
Description: long non-coding RNA NONPTRT018373
Source: RNAcentral